Non-coding RNA from Styela clava, 481 nucleotides. The record is from RefSeq and is a predicted model, not a curated record. Lineage: Eukaryota; Metazoa; Chordata; Ascidiacea; Stolidobranchia; Styelidae.
AUCAAUAAAAUAAUUUAUCGUUUGCAAGAUUAAACGAAUAGUUCACGAUGAGGCCAGAUUUCUAUAUAUCGAUAUUUUUAUGUAUUUUUGGAGUUUCACGUUCGCAACAACAAGAAUCGCUAGGGUCGUCUGGAAAGCUUGAAUCUUGUAAUGUCGUUUGCAAUUGUGGAGUAGGAGAUAAGUCUCCCGAAAACGGCGGAACCUAUCGGGGAGAACCUGGGCCACCAGGUAAAAAAGGACCACCUGGAAUAUUGGCCUACGAGGAGAGAAGGGCGAUCAGGGACCAAUUGGAAUACCAGGCUAUGACGGCACAGAUGCCAACGAAAAAAGAGUGAGAACUGAUGUUUUAAAUACCUUGGGUCUGAAGUCAUGCAAAGAACUGGAAAGAAAUGGCAUUCUCAAGACUGGAUAUUAUCUUAUGCGGGGUCCUUCAAACCACACCUGUGUUCAACUACUGCGAUUUUCGAAUAUAUUCGGGUAA